GGGCGAAAGCCUGACGCAGCAACGCCGCGUGCGGGAUGAAGGCCUUCGUGGUUGUAAACCGCUUUCAGCAGGGACGAAAAUGACGGUACCUGCAGAAGAAGCUCCGGCUAACUACGUGCCAGCAGCCGCGGUAAUACGUAGGGGGCGAGCGUUGUCCGGAAUCAUUGGGCGUAAAGAGCUCGUAGGCGGUUCAGUAAGUCGGGUGUGAAAGCUCCGAGCUCAACUCGGAGAGGCCACCCGAUACUGCUGUGACUAGAAUCCAGUAGGGGAGUGUGGAACUCCUGGUGUAGCGGUGAAAUGCGCAGAUAUCAGGAAGAACACCAGCGGCGAAGGCGGCACUCUGGGCUGGUAUUGACGCUGAGGAGCGAAAGUGUGGGUAGCAAACAGGAUUAGAUACCCUGGUAGUCCACACCGUAAACGUUGGGCACUAGGUGUGGGGAGGAUCAACCCUUUUCCGUGCCGUAGCUAACGCAUUAAGUGCCCCGCCUGGGGAGUACGGCCGCAAGGCUAAAACUCAAAGGAAUUGACGGGG
Molecule: ribosomal RNA, 532 nt
Filed under: uncultured bacterium
Lineage: Bacteria
Description: bacterial SSU rRNA
Rfam family: Bacterial small subunit ribosomal RNA
Source: RNAcentral